RNAcentral lists this long non-coding RNA (28789 nucleotides) under Lactuca sativa (garden lettuce). RNAcentral describes it as "long non-coding RNA (LSAT_LNC007292)". The record is from RNAcentral. Lineage: Eukaryota; Viridiplantae; Streptophyta; Magnoliopsida; Asterales; Asteraceae.
UCAACAGAGAUUCAAAUGGACAUCAGUCUAAUGGGUUUUGAUUCGCCGCUUUUGCACAACCUCCACCAUAUCCUUGCAGCCACCGACGACACCACCACCAACAAUAAAUCGAGCAAUAUCGGACCUACUCGCGCUUAUGUCCGUGACGCCAGAGCAAUGGCUGCAACUCCGGCUGAUGUGAAGGAGUAUCCCAACUCUUACGUCUUCGUCGUUGACAUGCCUGGUCUGAAGUCCGGAGAUAUCAAGGUCCAGGUGGAGGAAGACAACGUGUUGGUGAUAAGUGGAGAGAGAAAAAGGGAACACGAUCAGGAAGAGAAGGAAGGAGUGAAAUACGUGAGGAUGGAGAGGAGGAUCGGGAAGUUUAUGAGGAAGUUUGCGUUGCCGGAAAAUGCCAAUUUGGAGAAGAUAUCUGCGAUUUGUCAAGAUGGAGUGCUUACAGUGACGGUGGAGAAACUGCCGCCGCCGGAGCCCAAGAAGCCGAAGACGAUUCAGGUCCAGGUUGCUUGAAGAACAGAAACGGAGUUUGUAAGUGGUGAUAUUUCUUUAAAGAUUUUGGGUUAUAAGAACUAGUUGCUUAAUUGAUAACUGUAGACUGUAAUGGUUUAUUGUUUUGCUCUGUAUUUGUAGUGUUGUUUCUGUAAUAAACCUGUGGUGGUUUUUGACUUAUUUCCGGUAUCAUAAGCCUCAUGGGUUAUUUUUAUUCAAAUUCUCUUUUUAAUUUAUACCUCGUAAGGCAGGCCGGACGGAGCGGGUGCGGGGAAAGAAAGCGGGGAGCUUUCCGUCCGGCGGAACACCGCACCUUCGGCACGGGAAUGGGUUCAUUUUAUUUUUUGAAAAACUACCGUUAAUCAACGGUAAAAAAUGUAUUUUUCUUUUUGCUGUAAUGACUAUUUUUUUUUUAAUUUUAUUUAUCAUUUUACCCCUACUAUAAGUAUAUACAUAAAAUUUAACAACAUAAUAUUAUUCUCUGUUCUCUCUGCUUUAUAUCAACAAAAAAAAAUGAAUCCCGACAAGCAAACCUCAAGUUCCGAUCAACGGAAAAAAAAAGUCAUGGUUUGAGUAUAAACAUCACGCCUCGCAACAUUUUUGCUAUCGAUUCAUCCCUGCAAGGAAUUUACCGCCUCCAACUCGAUGCUCCCAUUCAAUCUCCACUACAAUUUCAAUACCAAAAUGUUGGUCAAUAUACCCGAUGCAAGUUCCAAAUGUUCCGUCGCAAAUGUUUUCAAACUUUGUUGUGUUUCCGGAUCAACAAUCGCCAAAUCAACCUCAACCCCAAACUCAAACUGAAACUCAAACCCAGACCCAACACCACCACCAACUUGUUGAUGAAUCGGAUGACGCGGAAGAAGAAGAUAUGGUUCCCGAAACUCAACCAACACCACCACCACAAAGACGUAAAGGGAAAAAACAAGUGCGCGAGGGUGUCGCACAACCGGGAAGACAAAAGCCGACAGCUUGGGUUCCACACGAAGAGCUAGUUUUGGUCAAAGCUUGAGUUGAUAUUUCUGAAGAUUCGAUUCAGGGAAACGCACAACCGGGAGAACAUUUUUGGUUUCGCAUUUUAGAACGAUUUCGAGAAGAGCUAGAAAAAUGUGAUAACUACCGUACGAAACAUCAACUUAAUUCGAAGUUUCGAGAAAUAGCAAAGGGGGUUUCAAAAAUUAACGGGUUGUACAACAACCUAAAAACCCAAUGAAAAAGCGGCCAAGGCGACGAAGAAAUAUUUCAAGAAGCGUUGCAGUUUUACCUUGAGGAAGUCGAAAACCAUUCAAGUGGCACGAUUGUUGGAAAUUAUUAGUCCGAAGUCUUAGGUGGAAAAAAUACAAGCGAGAUUUUAUUUUUGGAGUCCAACAAUCAAAGAAAACGAAAACGGGCUCUAGUGUUUACACAACCUUCUCCGAUGCUCGGGUCAGUCUUAGAUUUAAAUCAGGACGACGAACUCGAGCUAGAAGAAAUUGAACGCCCAAUGAGUAUAGACAAAGCGAAGAGAAAGGGAAAAAGGACUUAUUUGAGUGCAUCUGAUUUCAGCGUGGACAUUGACGAAAUGCGGAAGAUAACAUUGUCGUUUGAUCGAUAUAAUUUAAAUUUCUCCGAACGUUUGGCUUUCGACAAAGAUAAAGAAGAAAAAAGGAAGACAUGAAGUUUUUGAUGGAAAACGUUGAUCAUCUCUCGGGACCGACUCUCGAGCUCGUAAUGAAAAAGAGAGAAAAAAUUCUGAAAAAACUUUUUCCGUAGGUUGUUGUUGGUUUGUUUGAUUUUUAGUUUAUGUGUGUUUUUUUUAAUUUUCUACUUUUUUAUAUUUUAGGUUUAAUGUAAGUUUUAUUUUAAUUAAUGAAAUGCUUUUUAUUUUUAAUUAAAUUUUAUGUUUAGUGUUAAUUUAAAAAUUAUAAUUCAUAACAAAAAAAUUAAUUUUAUUUAAUUAAAAAAAAUGAGAGAAGAGCUUCCCACCCAUUUCUUGGCUUUUAGGUGAGGAAAAGGAGAGUGUGGGAAAGAGAGGUAUGGUCCACCAAAAGUGAGGGAAGCUUCCCUCCCACUCCUUUCAGUCUAAUAAGUUAAAAAAAAAUGAGCUUAAAUAAACUUAAGCAAACACUUUGAACCUAAUAAGUUGUUUUAAAAAACUUAGCUAAAGACCAUCUAAAUUAGGUAGAUUUGGGCUAUUUUAUGCUUUAUAUUUUAGUAUGUGUUUCAUGAGUGUUGUUUCUAGAAUUUUUUAGAGCUUAGGAGGCAUGAAAUUAAAAAGAAACAAAAGCUAACAAAAGUGCAAAGACUACACAUUUAAAAGGGUAAUCUCUAAAUAUUAUUAAAAAAGAACCCUUAAUUCACCAAUGAAGCAAUCAAGACCCUUGAUUGCAUUUCAAUCUUAUGUUUUCCACCAUUAGAUUAGAUUGAUGACAUCAUAUUCUUCAAAUAAAAUUCAAAUACAAUUAUAUUUAAUUAUAGAAUCUUUAAUAAUUAUAGAAUCUUUAAAUUCAAUAAUUACAUUAUCAUUACAACAUAUCAUUCUAUUUAUAUACGAUAUAUUAGUUUCUCUAAUUAAUAUUGUUCCUAAUUUAACUCUCUUAUUUAUAGUUUCUGGCUUCAAAAUUCAAACCCUUUAGUUUUUAUUUAUUUAUUUAUUUAUUUGAAAAAACUUAUUAAAUAAGCAUAUCAAUAAUUUGGUCAUUAACCUACAAAAUCUAAUCUAAUCCUAUUAAAUUAACAAAAUAUUUAAGAGUAAAAAAUAAAGUCAAUAUUAUUUAUAACUUAUCUCCCGGUAUAUCCUACGUAAAAUAAAUCAAUUUGAGAUAAUGAUUUUAAAUUUAAAACUUAUUAAUUAAGCAAGUCAAUUAAUUUGAAAGUAAUAAUCGGUUUGAUACAUGUUAAAUUACAAUUGCUUUAUUCCCAACCAUCUAACUCAAUAAUUGUAUGUAUUUAUUCUUAAACUUACCAUUUUUUAUAAUGUUAUUGAUUAUAUUUACUAUAUUUAAGUUUAAAUUGCAGAGAAUUUUAGUUGAAAGUGAUGAGCAUUAGUCGAUGUUUGUAUUGAAGUUUGAGGAUGAUGCAAAACUCUAAAUACCUUAGUGGUAAUAUCCUACAUAUUUAAUAAUUGAGUAUUUCGAAAAAAAAAAUUUCCAUUAACUUUAAUAACAAAUUUGUUGAAUUAAGCAUAUUUUUAUGCUUAUAAAUUUGUUUUUUCUACCCAUUUGUACUUAUCAUCUUGAAGAUGAGAAAACAUUAACCAUGACUAUACUGAAAAGUGCCAAAAAGAUCAUAUUGGUCAUAUAUUUCUGACAUAAUCUUCAAAUGUUCUUUGCUCAAUUCUUUGUUUUUUAUUUAUAUCAUUUUUGUGUAUUUGAUUUGUUUCUUCAAGAAACUCAGUUUUUUACUAAUUUUGAUAAAAAGAAAUUGUUGUAGUAAGCAUACUUUUAUGGCUAUAAAUUUGUUUUCUAUUAACAAAUCAAGUGUAAAUGAAUUUGAACAGUUGUUAAAUUUCAUAUUCUAUAAUGUAAUUAAUGCACUAAUUAAUCAAAUAAUANAAUUUCAUAUUUACAUGUCCAAGUGGUUGGGUACCUCCAGGACAAUAAGCAAACAUGCAAGUUAUAAGCACUUUCACAAUAUUGUAUUUUUUUACUAACUUUAAAUUAAAAAUUAUUUUUUUCACUUGCUUAAGAUUAUUGAUUACUCAUAUAGGUUUGUAAUAAAAUAAAAUUUUGAUAAAUUGAAAAAAUUAUUCAACAAAACCUAAUUGGUUAUAUAUCAAUUUAGGUUUCUUUUUGUGUUGUCAUGUUUGUUGAUUUGGUUAUGUACGAUUCAUUUGAAGUUCUAUUUCUUUACAAGAAUGUUAAUGUUUACAUUCAAGUAGAAACAAUUACAAUUGGUAAGUAUUCCAAAUGAUUUUUCACAUACAUUAAUCAAAAUUGUUACUUUAAAUGGUGCGUUCUCAUAAAAGUCACACCGGUUGUCACUAUACAGAUCUUCUAGCAUUCUAUAGAAGAAUCCUAGUGGCUCUAUGAUACUUUUGUUGUGUUUUCAAUGAAGGAUCACUCUAUCAACAUUCAUUUUCUAAAGUUUUUUCUCUUAUUUUUGAUAUACAUUGGUGUCACGACAAUAAGGCAGAAAGAGAUGUUAGUAACCAUUAAAGAUGAAAAUGUAAGAUAUAAUUUAAGAAUAUUAUAUAAAGUAUAAAUUGUGGAUUUGUGAUAUUUAUUCUAUGAAAAAUAUGUUGUNUUUUUUUUUUUUGGUUUUUUUUUUUUGUUUUUUUUUUUUUUUUUUUUUUUUUUUUUUUUUUUUUGUUUUUGACAAGUUUGAUCUAAAUUUAAUAAUUGAAGCAGGUAAGAAAGAUAUGUGUUAACGAUUUUGAAUUUGUAUAUUGCCCUCCAGAAACCAGCUGUAGCCUUAUAGACUGUUCCUUCAUAUCUUGGUAGGUCUUAACAUUUCCCCAAAUUUGGCUACAAGAAGUCAUGGAUGCACUUCUUGAAUCAAUCCUCAAACUGAAUUUAAUUUGUUAGUUGGAUGCAGUGACCAAAAUGCAAGAUUUGUGAAAAAUCAUUAUUAUUUAUUAGUAUUAACCUUUGGCAAAUUAUGAAACUAAUAUUAUAUUUUUGUUCAUAACAAUUUUUUCUUAUAAUAAUUUAUUUGAUAAGAAGAUAUGUGUAUGUGAUUGAGUGUAGCCUGAAAAAUCAUAUAUUAAUUCUUAUAAGAAAAAAAAAUACUUUAUAAAUUUACCAAAUUAAAAUAUCUUAAUUUUGAUGUUUAUGGUUAUGACAAUGCACUUAAACUGUAAUGUUUAUCGAAUUUCUUUUGCAGAAUUUAAUGUUGCCGGUAAAUAUAACAACUUAUUGUUGCUUUUGGUUUACAAUGCCAAUAUGAAAGAGUCAUGUGAGCCUCCAUGGAGAUUGGUACACCGGACACAGUCAAUUCAUAAAGCUACUACACAACAUGUUUUAAUCAAGAAGUCGCAUCAUGUUGUGAUAAUAUAAAGAUCACGUGGAUCAUUUAUGUUAAAAAUUAUUGUAUUAAAAAAUCAAAUUGCUCUAAUAUAAAUAUUAAAUAUUUUAAUUUAAUAAGUUUGGUUCAAAAAGUCUAAAAAUGAAUCUAAGUAACAUUUUUUAUUAAAAUUUCACCUAAAACAAUGUCACAUGUAAUAUGUAUUUAAUUUAUGUUCUCCGCGUUUAACGCGGGUCAUAAUCUAGUAUUUGUAAUAUAGAUAAUGUAGUUUUUAAUUUGUAAUAUUUGGUCAUUAAGUUUAUUAAGUUUUUUUUUUUUCUGUAUAUAUUUAUCCUUUCAACUUGUUUAAAUUGUUCACGUUCAGUCUUUAUAAACGAGUAUUCCAAAUAAAUAUAAACGGAAAAAAAAUUUAUUGAUCAAAUAUGUACAUAUAUUACAUGUUAUGUUUUGAAGAGUGAAAUGUACCGGUUAAUUCAAAUGCAUUUUACCUUUAUGUUUCGUCCAAACAAUAAACAAAGUUUAAUAUCAUCUAAUAAUUUUUAUUUCUCAUUAAGCUUCACCUUUCUGAAGAACAACCUCAUUUUUGGCUUUCCAUGUUAUCAAAAUCAUUAAAACUGCAUCAGCGAGAAUCCUAGCCUUCGAAUUCUGCUUAGAGUUUGAAUUCAAAAACACCAACAUGUCCUCUAGGGAGCCAAUGGGACGAGCGGCCCAAUUCCACAUCAAAUCAGCAACUAAGGUCCAGUUCCAUAAUAUUUUUAUAUCUCGGAUCGGUUUCGAAAGAAUCGGUUCUUUUUGUGGUUGGUUUUGGAGCGGUCCGGUUUUUUUUGGGACAUGUCUCCUCCAGACUUGGGGCGGUCCUUUUUCGGUCCGGGCCUUUUUUUACAUCGGUUUUUUUGGUCCGAUCUUUUUUGUGACCGGUCGCGGUUUUUUUUCCGGUACGGUCGCGCUGUCUUUUUGUGCGCCGUUUUCGGUUCGGUUUUCGGACUUUUCGGUUGGUUUUUGGGUUUUUUCGUUCCUAUUUUGUUAUUUGUUGCUUUUUUUUAGUUUCAAUUUCGAGUUUUUCCUUUAACAAAUGUGCGAUUAACAAUAAAAUGAUAGAUUAAAAUUUAUUAAAAAUGAUAUACUAAAGUUUAAUAAAAAAAAGGAAUGAAGUUAGAUAGUGUAGGAUUAAAAUUUUUGUAAAUAACACAAAAUUGAUAUAUUUAUAAACUUUGGCUAGCAGUCUUUUUUGAGAUCAGUCUCCAGUCUUGGGUCGGUCUCGGAUGGGUCUUGUGUCGGUCUCAAAACGAUCCUCUCUUUUUGGGACUUGUCUCAAAACGGUCCGUUUUUUUAACGGUCUCGAGCCGGUCGUUUUUAGGACCGGUCUUUUUCCGGUCCAGUUUUAUUAUAGAUCGGUCCGAUCUCGGUCUUUUUUUGGGUUCGGUCCGAGACAGGUUUUUUUGUGCAGGUCGCAGGACCAAGUGUAGAAGCCACAUGGAUUGUCUUCGGACCAUAUUUGUGGUUAACAAGAACCUAUUAAGAAAAAAUCUCCAUAUAAACACUUGACUUUAAUCCAGAGCCGAUUUUAAAAGCAAACAAAUUACAAUUAUAAAAAAAUACAGUUUCAACAAGAAAUAAAAUGAUUAAACCGUAAAAAUGUUUUGCAAGUUACCGGUCCAAACCCACAAGAACUUGUUGUGAGUCUUUUUGCGAUGGGGAUGAGAACACCCGUUUCUUUCAUGGAAUGUUAAAGAACAAAUAUAGCAAAAGCAGAAUUCACGACAUCAAUAUAAACGACUCAUGGUCCUCCGAUCCGCAAGAAAUUAUGAAGGAAGUGUUUGAGUAUUACAAUGCCAAAUUUCAUGAACCUGUUCCCAACAUACCUAAGUUGAUCAACCCAUUUUUCAAAAAACUACAUCCUUCUCAAUGCUCUCUUAUCGAAUCCCCUUUCUCAAUCGAAGAAAUCAAAGCUGCCAUAUGGGGCUGUGGUGCCGAGAAAGCUCCUGGGCCUGACGGGUAUACGUUCAAAUUCAUAAAGGAGAAAUGGGAAUGCAUGAAAGAUGAUAUAAUCCGGUAUAUCCGACAUUUUGAAAAAACUAGAUUGUUCUCGAAGGGGUGCAAUUCAUCAUUUAUAACUUUGGUUCCAAAGGUGAAAGACCCGAUCUCGCUCACAGAUUAUAGACCCAUCAGUCUUAUAGGGUGUAUUUAUUAGAUCGUUGCUAAAAUCUUAGCUAAUCGUCUAAAAGGGGUUAUUGGAUCGGUCGUUGAUGAAGUACAAUCAACAUUUAUAUGUGGCAGGAAUAUACUUGACAGUCCUCUCACUAUGAAUGAAAUUUAUAAUUGGGCAAGAAAAAACAAACUGUCGAUCUUCCUCUUCAAAGUAGAUUUCGAGAAAGCAUUUGCUACAAUAAACUGGAGCUACUUGGACUCAGUGAUGGAACAGAUGGAAUUUGGGAAUAAAUGGAGAAAGUGGAUCUUUGGGUGUUUAUCAUCAGCAAGAGCUUCAGUUUUAGUAAACGGGACUCCUACGGAUGAAUUCCAAGUCACUAGGGGUGUGAGGCAGGGUGAUCCCCUCUCGCCUUUUCUCUUUAAAAUCGCUAUGGAAGGACUACAUAUGGUAAUUCAAGGUGCUGUUGACAGGUCACUUAUUCAAGGGGCGAAGCUACCGAAUAGUGGGCCAACAAUCUCACAUCUGUUUUACGCAGAUGAUGCCAUUUUCUCAGGAGUCUGGGAUUCCAGAAGCAUUAGAAAUCUAUCUAGGAUUCUCAAAUGUUUUGAGAUUUCGUCAGGGCUUAAGGUUAAUUUCCAAAAAUCUCGUCUGUUUGGUAUGUGUGUUCCUGAGUAUGAAAUACAAACCAUGACGCAAGUUCUAGGAUGUCGAAAAAGUGCUUUUCCUUUCACGUAUCUCGGGGUGCCCGUGGGAGCAAACAUGCUAUUAAAAAACAAUUGGAAACCGGUAAUCAACAAAUUUCAAGCAAAAUUAUCAAACUGGAAAGCAAACUGCUUAUCAUUUGGAGGCAGGCUCACUCUGAUCAAGUCGGUGCUGGGAAGUUUGCUUACGUAUUAUCUCUCUUUAUUCAAAGCACCACAAGGUGUCUUGGAUGAAUUGGAAAAACUUAGAAGAAGGUUCUUGUGGGGUAGUACAGAUGAAAAAAGAAAAUUGCACUGGGUUGACUGGAAUUUGGUGACAGCAAAUAAAAAUAAUGGUGGACUGGGGGUUGGUACACUAAAAGCCCAAAAUAUUGCACUGCUCACCAAGUGGUGGUGGAGACUUAAAAACGAAUCCGACUAUAUUUGGACUGAGGUCAUUAACAGCAUUCACAACUUCGACAAGCACCCAGCCUACUAUCUUACCAAGAAAAACGCAACUGGAGUCUGGAGUAAUAUUUCAAAAGCAAUUUCGAGUCUUCUGAAUUAUAAUAUCGACCCAACCAGUUUGUUCUCCCUGGUGCCAGGUGCGAAUAUUAAAAUACUCUUCUGGAAGGACAUCUGGUGUGGAGAUAUCCCCCUGCAGGCCAAAUUUCCAUUGCUCUACAAUCUUGAAACAGUCAAGAGAUGCUCCCUGAUGGAUAGACUGUGCAGAUCCGGGUUUGCAUGGAAUUGGAGAACCACUUCUUUUGAUGCUGACUCUCUUCUAGAGUUACAUGAAUUUCACAAGUUGGUUGGAUCAGUUAACUUCAGUCAAUCAUUCAAAGUUGGUUUCCGUUUCAAACCCAAUCCAGAUGGAAUCUACUUGGUGAACAGCCUAAGGCGGGAGGUGGACUCGAAAAUCAUCCAGUAUAAAGGACCUUUGAUCCUUUGAUUUGCUGGGCAAAAAGCAUACCUUUAAAAGUCAAAUGCUUUAUAUGGAGGGCUGUUAUGGGAAAAAUUCCAGUAGCUGAUGCGCUAAUUCAAAGGGGUAUAUUGGUCCAAAAUAGGAUUUGUCCAAUGUGUGGUACUUGUGAUGAAACCUCUAAUCACUUACUGAUUGGCUGCGAUUUCUCAAAAACAGUUUGCUAUUGGAUUUUCCGGUGGUGUGGUAUUCAACAUGGGCAAUUUGGGAAUGUAAGAGAACUAAUUGAUUUUGCUGCAACAUGGGGGAAUAGUCCCAAGAAAAGGCAUUUGCUGAGCAUGAUAAUAUACUCUACCAUUUGGAACAAUGGCUGACCAAGAAUGAUAGACUUUUUAAAAAGAUUGGAGUAAAUCCUACAAAGACUGCAGAUUCCAUUAUUGCUCAAACUUUUGAAUGAAACAAGUAUAGGAGUAAUGGAAUGGAAAGCUGGACGGAAUGGAGAUGCUCACAUUUUUCUCUUUUUUAGUUCAAAUUGUUAAGCAAAAUGAUGUUGUAUUGUUUGUUUAUUACUCUUUGGUUUGUUUGGUUUCUCCCUUGCUCAGUUUCUUGCUGCUGUCUUGGUUUUCAUAUAUACAAUUAUUCGCCGUUUCCAAAAAAAGAAAGCAAUAGUAAAAUCGUCCAAUUGUUUCGAUUUAGCGAACCUCUUUCCUCUAAAAAAAAAAAUUCCAACUCCAAGACCAAGAGAUAUGAAAAUUGUAGGAUAUAACAAUUUUAUCACUAAUCAAGGAAAAAAAUUUCGGACUCAGCUAUGGAUAAUCUCGAAAAUCUAUUUUUAAGAGUGGACCCCUUAACCAUUUUUGUCUUUCCAAAGCAAUGUGUUUUUGCCGUUGUUAAAUUUUUGAAUGAAUAAAUCAUAAAUAUUUUUUCCAUUUCUACCAAGUCUUCGUUUAUCUUGACUAGGGGUGCAAACGAGCCGAGCCGAGCCCGAGCUCGUUUAAGUUAUAUGAGGCUCGAGCUCGAGCUCGGCUCGAUUUGAGCUUCUUGUAUUAAGCUCGGCUCGAGCUCAUAAAUAAUUAUACAAGCUCGACUCGGGCUCGUGAUCGGCUUGUUUUUUGUCUGACGUGCCUAAAUAAGCUUAAGCUCGGCUCGAGCUCGUUAAGAAGCUCGUUUACUAAUACCCUAAAUCCCUAAUCCCCAAAUAUGUUUUUAUUUUAAUAUAUAAAAAUAAUAAUAAAUUAUUUUAUAUAAAGGCUCGUUUAGGCUCGCGAGCCUAAUCGAGCUUAGUGACAUAGGCUCGAGCUCGAGCUCGUUUAAUAAACGAGCUUAAUAUUAAGCUCGAGCUCGGCUCGGGCUCGUUUAAAAUCGGUUUCGAUUCGAGCUUUUAACGAUCCGAUCCUAAGUAGCUUACGAGUAGUUUGGCUCGUUUGCACCCCUAUGUGUAACCAUCAAUAGUGUANUUGUUUUUUUUUUUUUUUUUUUUUUUUUUUUUUUUUUUUUGCCAUGAGACAAUUAUCAUGCCCAUUAAAAUUAUGAAGCUUUUGGAUUACUCUAGAACAAAGGCAAUGAGAAUCAAUUUUCUAGAUGUGUUUCGAACGCUGAAAAUUAAAGAAAAAUAACUUGGAGUCUUCUGAUUAUAAUAGUUAUAAAAAAUUUAAAAAAUAAUUGUUUGAUUUAAUAAGAAGAGUAAAUUACACGAAUGGUCCUAUGAUUUGAGGAAAUUUGCACGCUUGAACCUUAACUUAUUUUUUUAACUCGGAAAGUCCUUAUUGUUUGUUUUUGUUACGCGCUUGGUCCCUACUGUUUGUUUAUGUUAUGCGUUUGGUCUCUAUCUUACCUAAAAAGAUUAUUAUUUAAAUAGAGAAAAACGGAGGGGUAUGUAAGGUAAGGUGAGAGGUGGGUUGGGGGUGUGUUUAUUUAAAUAAAUUAAAAAAAUCAAAGGGCAAAAUAGUGUUUUUAGGUAAGACAGGAACCAAGCACGUAACAAAAACAAACAGUAGGGACCUUCCGAGUUAAAAAAAAUAAGUUAGGGAUUAAAUGCACAUAUUAUCCUAAACUGUAGGGACCAUUCGUGUAAUUUAAUCUAAUAAUAAUAAUUUCUUACAGCAUCUUUAAUGGUUAAGCUAUAUUAUAACUUCCACCUCAUUAUUCCAUUAAUUUUAACCUCUAAAUAAAUAGUCUCUCCAAUGGUUAACCUCUCCGACUAGCUUUUUCUUUAAAUUUAAUUAAUCUAUCAUUAUCUAUUUAAAAUGUUCUAUAUAACUCCCUCCAUUUAGUUAGUUAUUUUUAAACACACAUUGUAUUAAACACAUUUUUAUAAUACCUCUAAAAGUUCGUAAGAUGUCACAAAAUAUUUAAUAGAUAAAUUAAAUAAAAUGACAAAUCAAAUUAACUACUAAAUAAAUAAAUAAAUUGAAAACUAAAAUAUAAUAAAAGGGUAAAUUAAAAUAUAAUUAGAAGAUGACGGGGCAAAAUAUAUAAAAGGUUAAACUAUACUGACCACUCAAUAUAUAUUGAGUGGUCAAUAAAAAUAAGCAAAAAAGUGAUGUGCUCCAAUAGGAAUAAAUGCUCAUUUAUAAAAAGUCAAUAGUAAUAAGUUAUAAAAAAAAACUUUCAUUAGAGAUGCUCUUAGAUCAUAACUACAUUAUAUCAUUUGGCCAUAAGGUAUACAUGACAUGAGUACUUGUCGUGGCCAAGUGGCAUGAAUGCCACGAUCGUGCACACCAUCCUAGUGGUGUCAUUAUGCAACAGUUGUGGUCCUUUGUUGUAUUUACCAUGAGAGGCAAAGCCCAAUGAGAAGAUUUGUGUACAUUUUAAUGUUUUGACGUAUAUAUUUAACUACCGUUUUGAACUACUCGAAUGUAAAAAAAAAAUUAAAUUUAUUUAUUUUUACAAACUUAACAUAUAAAUUUACUGUUUCAUUACACAAUUUUUCACAUCAUUCUUUUUUCAUCUAUUAUAUACUCAUACAUAGAACAAAAUGUCAACACUCUACCAAGAAACACAAACCGGAAUGUUGACGUAUUGUUUCGUUGGACACUAAGAGAUUGGAUUCACCACAAGGUGGUUUCAUGAACUUUCUCGAAAGCACCCUUAUCCCAUAACAACCACUUUUCUAACAACCUUUUACACAACAAUGUUUAUUCCAACAACCUUAUCGGUACGCUUUUAUAUACCAACAUCCUUCCGUACAACCACAACAUUCGCAACCACAACCAAUUCUCCUGAUGUAGUACCACAAACACAAUUCGAUCAACCAAAACCAUCAAAGAGAAAAGGAAAAAAAAUGAUCCAAUAGGAACAUGAACUUGGACGGAAAAUAAAGAAACCAAUUUAGCUAAUGCCUAGAUUUCAACUAGCCAAUACUCGAUCAAAGGAAAUGCUCAAAAGACAGCUUUAAUUUGGGAAAACGUUCGUAACAUCUUCCAUGACCUAAGAGAGCAAGUGGUUUAUUGGACAACCGACUAGAUAACGAGGUUAAGAAAUUGAAUUCAAUGGAAUUCAAAACAACCUCAAGAACAUACAUAAGUAUAAGGCCAACGAUGUUGACAUCUUCGUCGUGACGCUCAAACAAUACCAAGAAUCUUACCUACUCAUAAACCUUUUCCCUAUGUUAAUGCUUGGUAUGAGUUGAAGAAGUGUCAGAAAUGGCUUCUUGUGAACAAAUUGAUUUCUUCUGGUUCAAAACGUUAAAGGAAAGCCCAAUAACGUAACCACUCAAAACAAUCGGAUAGGUGAAUAUUUAUCAGCAUGAACGAUAAUUCGAAGGACCUUGAAGUAGAAAAACCUCUAUGUGGAUCGAUAGGAAGGAGUAUAGCGAGGAAAACAGCUUCUGGUUCGUGUUGAUAAAAUCCAGAGGCAAAAAACAUCGAUCACUCUAAAGAUAAAUUUGACCUAUACGUCCAACUUAUGGAGGAAGCAGAAAAAAAAAUCAAAGAAAUGAAAUCUAGAAAGCAAAAAAAGAACGGUACGGAAAAUUUUAAGAUGAAAGCCGACGAUUACGAAUGGAAGGAUCUACAGAUAUUUCUUGUGAUGAAAGGAAGCAUCUAAGCAAAAUAUUAGACUAUAUGUAUGAACACAUUCCAACUCAAAUGAACCAUUCAUUUGAAAUCCUUUGAGUUGUAUGCACAAUUAUCCGCAAGUAAUUGUGAUAUAGACGUUUGUAUACUUCCGUACGAUUUCUGUAUAACCUCACACUUCUUUUUCGUAGUGUGACUUCAUUUUUUUUUUCUUAUACUUCAUUAGUGUAAUACUCGUAUAUCAUGAUGUUUAACAUAUCAUCAUCAUUAGAAGACGAGUCAAACAGAUCUAUAAUAUAAAAAUAUGUUGGAAAUUUUUGUAAGUAGAUAGCCAAAAUGGUGUGUAAAAAUAUUAAGUGAGUAUUAUAUUUAUAGACGUACAAAGAUAUAUAUAUUUUUUUCUAAAAUUGAUCGUUAAACGGUCCAUUUGACCGUUUGAAUUGACCUCCAUACGUGUAGCCUUGCGCCGAGUUGUCAACAUGUUAUGAUGGGGCGGUGCCAAGUAGCUCAACAGCAUGGAGGGAGCCCAACUCAUCUCCUCCGUGCUGUUUUCGUAUCAUACCUAGCAACCUUAAAAAAUUGCAAGGAAGGGAGGGUGAUUUUGGGAAGACGAGAUGAAGCUCUCGUGGUUGUGGUGAGGAUGAGAAAAGCUAUAGCGUAGGGAAGUGACGACCGGAGAAAUUUAGAGGGAUCGUCUGCAGAGGAAAUAGAUUCAUGCUCAUUUUGUUUCAUAAAAAAACGUGCACAAAACUCAAUAAAACCAUAUACAUAAUGCAUAUUUUUUUUAUUAACCAUGCUAGAUUUAUUGUAUUCUAAUUGCUUUUUUCUAGUAAUGGUUUGUGUUUUAAUCCUUUUAAUAAUAAUAAAUUAAAUAAAUAUAUGAAAGAAAUUGAAAAGUGAUUAUUAAGUCAUUUUGUUUGAUUGUUCUAAAAAAAUAUUAACCAUUUCGUUAUUUUCGUAAAUCCAAAAAUCAAAAUUUACCGUUAUCAACUCAUUCUUUGCUUUAGACUUGUAAUGUUAAUUUCACAUUUUUUUUGAACCAAAUUAAAACAAAAAAUCACAACAUGAAUACAUGAUAGGAACCACCAUUAAAGUUUUCAUUUGAUUAAAAUAUUUAUUUAAAUAAUAUAGAAAUUAUAAAUACUAUUUUUAUAGUAAGAUUUUUUUACGACAAAGACAGAAUUAUCGGGUAUUGGAUAUCAAGAAACCUCAUUCCCCCGUGUCAAAAGAAGCUGCUAGAAGCUCCUCGUAUCCGUUUCCUCUUUUCCCUUCUUUCUAGAAACUACUUUUACUUCUUCUUCCUCUAGACUCUGCCAUAUAAAUCCACCUUAAAGAUGUUUGAUUCGUCAUUCUGCAACCACACAACAUCUCGACUAGUACUUUAUCCUUCAAUUGCGCUCGAAUUUUGGAGAAAAGGUAAUCAACCGAAAUCGAUAUGGACAUCAGUACUCUAAUGGGUUUCGAUUCGCCGCUUUUGCACAACCUCCACCACAUCCUUACAGCCACCGACGACACCACCACCAACAACAAAUCAAGCAAUGCCGGACCUACUGGCGCUUACGUCCGUGACGCUAGAGCAAUGGCUGCAACUCCGGCUGAUGUGAAGGAGUAUCCCAACUCUUACGUCUUCAUCGUCGACAUGCCUGGUCUGAAGUCCGGAGAUAUCAAGGUCCAGGUGGAGGAAGACAACGUGUUGGUGAUAAGUGGAGAGAGAAAAAGGGAACACGAUCAGGAAGAGAAGGAAGGAGUUAAGUACGUGAGAAUGGAAAGGAGGAUCGGGAAGUUUAUGAGGAAGUUUGUGUUGCCGGAGAAUGCUAAUAUGGAGAAGAUAUCGGCGAUUUGUCAAGAUGGAGUGCUUACAGUGACGGUGGAGAAACUGCCACCUCCGGAGCCAAAGAAGCCGAAGACGAUUCAGGUCCAGGUUGCUUGAAGAACAGAAUCUACUUUAUGUUGUUUUGCUCUGUUUUUGUAAUGGUUUGCUCUUUUGCUCUGUUUGAUCUCGUAGUUAUAAUCAAUCUACUGUUGUUGGUUUUUAAAGUCAAUAUUUGGUCGUUUUGUUGUACUUCGGUUUGUAACAAUUUAAAUGUGAAAUUAAAAUGGUUUCUUUGUAAUUAUGUGUGUGUCAGUUUUGUGCCCCAAUUUGCAGAAAUAAAUUUUAUAUACGAAGUAAUGGCAUGGACACGUUCGUUAUAUUAAACACAUAAAACGAAUGGAAUCGAAAAUCGGAUUAAAAAUUAUUUUAACUGUAUUUAAAUGCUUUUAAAAUUAAAUUAAGUGAGUUACUAUUUAAACUAGUAGAAAACUCGUGAUUGGCAAAGUGACUGAUUUUUUUUUGUAUAACCAUAUAAAAUCACUUCGACCAUUGUUAUACCAACCGUGUAAUAUCACAUUCUCUGUUACUAACAUACAAUACCUACUAUUAAUAUAUCAAUCCAUAUCAUUAUUUUUAUUUUUUUAAAUUUAAAAAUACAAUAAAAUUACAUUUUUAAUAAUUAAAAAAAAAUCAUUUUUAACUAGUUUUUCAUUAAUUAUAAAAAUAAAAUUAUAACUUCAAACUACUUUACUUAAUUAAUCUAGAAAUAAAAAAAAAAAAAAACAUUACACAAAUUAAAAAAAAACAAACAUACAUACAAAAAAACUAAUAUUUGUAUAUUUUAUGUUGGUACAAAUAUUCUACGACAUCUUCUCGAAGAUUGAAACACAUUUCAUUGUUAUGAAUUUCAACAACUCGUUCUAAAAACUCAUUCGUUCCAGGUACGAACUCAUCAAUCAGAAUGACAACUUCGUUCGGAUCAUACGUGUAAAUCGUUCGACCUUCAUCUUCAAUAAUCAUAUUAUGCAUUAUAAUACAUGCUAGGACCAUUUGUUUGAUUCUUUCUUUAUCUCAGAGUCGUGUAGCAUAUUCACCACAUGUCAUGUCUGCCUGAUGACUCCAAAUGUCCUUUUGAUAUCCUUUCUCGCCGAUUCCUGUUUUUCUGUAAACAAUUUUGCCUUUUCACUUUGAGAAACCGAGUAUGCCUUCAUUAAUAUAAAAUAAUUCGGGUAUAUCCCAUCACCAAGGUAGUAACCGUAUUUGUACGCGUGUUCGUUUACCGUAAACGUCAUAUCAGAUGCUUUGUUAGUCCAAAUAUCGUUGAAAAUAGGAUAUUGGCCAAGAACAUUAAUGUCGUUGUUAGACCCCGCUACUCCGAAGAAGGCAUGCCAUAUCUAUAAAUGUUGAGAUGCAACAGCUUCUAGGAUGAUAUUUGGUUUACCUAUAUCUCUUCGAGUGAACUAACCACGCCAUUCAUUUGGACAUUUUUCCCAAGCCACAUGCGUACAAUCUAGACUGCCAAGCAUACCUGAAAAUCUAUGCCUCUCUUCAUGAGCUGAAUAUAAUCUCUCAAUAUCAAGUUGACUAGGUUUGUGCAAAUAUUGUUCGUGAAAAACUUCAUAGACGCAUGCAGAAAACCAAUCUACACAUUCAACUGCAGUCCUUUCGGAGACUUUCAAGUAUUCGUCCGAUGCAUCAAAUGUUAUACCGUAUCCCAAAUACCUAAGAGGAGCCGCACAUUUUUGUAUACUACUAAAACCCAUUCUUCCUCUAACGUCGGGUUUUUGUUUGAAAAAAUCAUAGCGAGAUUCUAAAGCAUUACUAAUACGUAAAAAUAUAGCCUUAUUCGGACAGAAACGACGUUCGAACGAGUCAUCAUUAUAAAGAUAAUUAUCGGCAAAGUAAUCACAUACCAAUAAGUCGUGUGCGGCUUGGCGAUCACGAUUGACGACCGCUCUUGUACAAGCAACAUUCGAACUUUCUUCGUUGUGAAUGUGUUGAACAAUAUUGAAGAAUGUCUCGACAAAUUCUAUAUUGUCAUCUGAGUCAAAAGUUUUUAAGAAUUCCAUGUGUUUUGUGGAAUCCAUGUGCAUGUGCUUUGUAGUUUUAGAGAAUGAAGGUUUUAGAGAAUGAAGGUGUAAGAUUUGGUGAAAAUGGAAGGUUUUAAUUAUAUGUAUUAAAUUGAGUUUGAAAAAAAAAUACCAAAUAGUCGUUCAACGAUCGAGAAAGCGAUACACCAAUCAAGUUUUGCGUUUAAAAUCGCCGUCGGCAACAUGAUGCCUAACGACCAUACCCGGCCACGAUUUGUCGGGGUGCUGUGCAUGGAUAUUUCUCGUGGCCACAUGGACCACGGAUGCUCUCGUUGAGAGUAUACCAUAUGGCCUUAGUUCAAAAGAUAAAACAAAGGGAUAAUGACUUAAAAUGGUAAUACAUUUUUCUAUUUGUAUACAUUUGGUCACUGAGUUUUUUUUUCCUUCCACAUUACCCUUUCAACUUGUUAAAUUGUAUACAAUUAGUCCUUAUGACCGGCUACUCCAGGUCAGCCGGUAAAAAUGACUUAAUAGGGUAAUACAUUUCUCAUUUUGUAUACAUUUAGUCCUUAAUAUUUUUGUACAUAUUUAAUAUUUUUUUUGGUGCAAAAUAAGUCAAUUUUGUUUUUUAUAUUAAUUUAGUAUUUAUGAAUGAUUUCUUUAGGUUUUUCUCACGAAAUCUUACAUGGGACAGUCAUUAAUGAGAUGUUUUGGGGCUUUUGAUGCUUAUGUCCAUCGCGAUCUCAACUACUUGGUUACUUAGAUCAUUUGUUCUAAACGUCAUCACUUCUUCAUACGAUCUCGGUUUUUAAUGAUCUUUAUAUCCAUGUGUUUGUAUUUUAGUCUACUACACCUUUCCUUUAGAUUACUCUCGUUAAAGUAAUAUAUUUUUUACUUAUAAUCUUUAUAUCAAUACGUUUUUUAUGAAUACAUGUAUGGAUGUUUUUUUAUAAAAUCGUAAGUAAAAAUAUAUUACAUUUUAACGGGAGUAAUCUUAAUGAAAGUUAUAAUAGACUCAAAAAAACGAACAUGUGAAUAUAAAGAUCGUUAAAAUAUGAUAUCGUGUGAAGAAGUUACGACGUUGAGAACACAAGACCUACGCAACCAAGAAGUCAAGAUCGCGAUAAACAUAAGCAUCAACAACACCAAACACCUCAUCAAUGAUUAUCACACGUAAGAUGUCAUGAGAAAAACCUAAAUAAAUCAUUCAUAAGUACUGAAUGAGUACAAAAACAAACAUGACUUAUUUUGAAACAAAAAAUAUCAAGGACUAAAUGUGUACAAAAAUAUUAAGAACUAAAUAUGUACAAAAUGAAAAAUAUAUUACCCUAUUAAGUCGUUUUUCUUGACUAACCUAGAGUAACUGAUCAUAAGGACUGAAUGUGUCCAAUUUAACAAGUUGAAGGAGGUAAUAUAGACGAAAAAAACUCAGUGACAAAAUGUAUACAAAUCGAAAAAUAUAUUACCCUUUUAAGUCAUUAUUGAUGGGUUUUAAGCAUAAGAACAAUCAUAUGUGCUCAUACAAACCCUAAUGCUUGGAUCUAGAUUUCUCUAUUGUACAUGCUUUGAAUCCAAGACUUACAAACCUAGAUCUAUCAUAUAUAAUUCAAAUUAUCAUAAGGAAAAGCAUAUCUAAGUGAUUUACCUUUUUCAAGUAGCUUGAAUCCUUGCAAUCUUCUUGAUCUUGAGCUUAGAGUCACAAUUGUAACUCAUCUAAUGGUUCACAAACCCCACAAGCAAGAAGGCAAUAUGAGAGAGGGUGAGAGAUGCUAGAAAUCGGCCCUAGGGUUCUCUUAGAAGCAGGUGUAGCCGAUUUCCAUAACCUGGGGUCUUAUUUAUACUUGCAGGCUGCUAGGGUUUCAGUCUAAACCCUAAUGGACAACUUAGCCACCAAGCAGCCCAAGGAACCUUCUGGAAUAAGGCCUUGGACGAAAAUAUGAUGGAUCCCCAUCAUAAUUUCGUUCCCCCUUUAGUCCAUUAGGUUUCCUUAACCCAAAACUCAACUAUCACACAUUUGACAGUUUAUACCCCUUUAUUUAAUUAAUCUCUUUUAGUCAUCAAAUUAAUUCCUAAUUAAUUUAUGACCAAUACUAAUUAAAUAAAUCUGAUUUCUCCUUUAAUAUAUUAUUCUAAUAAUAUAUUAAUAAACCAUAAUAUUUUCUCUCUCUCUCUCUCUCUCUCUCUCUCUCUCUCUCCUUAAAUUACCUUGUCAAGUUGCUUUGGUGAAGGCAACCCAAAAGGACCAUGCACAACCGGGUCAAGUACAUACCAAAUAUAGUUACGGGCUUAGACACUAAUCCAAUAGUCUCCCAUUUGGAUAAGUCUAGUAACUAUAAUGUAAGUAAAUUCCGAUUAGCAAUCGUAGCUCUCAAAGACGUUGUCGCAAUCUGAUCUUAUCAGUAACCUGUCCUUUAGAUAAGUGAUUGUACAGUCCUCUAUUCUAGAUAUCGUGUGGACAAUCACAGAGAACAUAGUCAUACUUAUUGUCCAGCAGUUUGUUUUUCUCGAUCUCAGAUUCAUUUGACAUAGAACUUAAUUGAACACAUCAAUUCAGUCCUGACAGGGCCCGACACAUAAGUCAAAUCAAAUCAUCGAGGGGCCCUGAUAUCGCUUUUACCCUCUUAGGAUAAAAGGAACAUAUAAACUUCGACUUAUAUGCAUUUACUAUUCACUAAUCAAAUCAUACACAACAAUGCGUUUUAUAACAUCAAGUUACUGAUGCGUUUUCGCAUUAUCAAUGCACAACCAAUCAGCAAACAAUAAACCAUAUAUCUAGGUUUUAAGACCAUAUGAUAUUAUCGUCUUGCGAUCACUCGUGAUAAAUUCCAUGAACUGAUUCCAGCAAGCGCGGGUUUAUUCCAAUGUUCAAAACUUGUUCAUAAGCACUCAUGAAUGUUGUAGCAAACCUUUGCUAUGUCUAAUACCUUUUAGACAAUCUACACACCUAUUCAUGACAGUCUUCAUUCAUAUCUACUUCCAACAUAUGAACGACUGUGGACCAUUCAAAUAAUUCAAUUAUUCUUAAUAACUCAAUUAUUCAGGAAGUCAAAACAUGCAAAGUGAAACAAUAGUUAAACAAUUAACAUAAGACAUUAGUUUUACUUAUAAAUAAUACUCCUUUAUUUAACCAUCAAAUGUCAAUUACAUUUAUCUAUUACAUGUUUCCAAACUAUCUAAUCUAAACUAAUGUCAUUCUUUAUCCCGAUGCUCCUAGCAUGCUGCAAGUGUUUAACCCUACUCAGUCCCUUCGUAAGCGAAUAUGUUGGGUUAUCCUCUGAUGAUACCCUCUUUACUAUGAGGUGUCCUUCUUCUACACGAUGUCGAAUAAAGUGAUAUUUUCUGUGGAUAUGUCGAGAUCUACCAUGAUCCCUUGGUUCCUUGUUUAAGGAAACCGCUCCUUCAUUAUCACAGACAAUUUCCAUAGGCUCCUUUAUGGCAGGUACAACUCCAAGGUCUCCAAUGAAGUUCUUCAACCAUAUCGCCUCUUUUGACGCUUCACUCAUUGCAAUGUACUCUGAUUCGCACUUUGAAUCAGCUACGGUUUCUUGCUUGGAACUUUUCCAAGUCACUGCUCCUCCAUUAAGGGUAAAGACCCAGCCCGGCUACGAAUGGUAGUUCUCCCUGUCGGUCUGAAAGCUGGCAUCACUAUACCUUCGCACCUUUAAUUCAUCACUCCCACCGAGGACUAGAAACCAUUCCUUGGUCCUCCGAAGGUACUUAAGAAUGUUCUUGACUGCGGUCCAAUGUGCUCUGCCAGGGUUCCCUUGAUAUCUACUGACCAUGCUCAAGGCAAAGGCCACAUCAGGGCGAGUACAAGUCAUGGCAUACAUAAUCGAGCCAACUGUGGAAGCGUAUGGUACUCUGCUCAUUUCUGCUAUCUCGACUUUGGUACUCGGGCAUUGAGUCUUACUCAACUUGGCAUUACUUUGGAUUGGUAACUCUCCCUUCUUUGAGUUUUCCAUACUAAAACAUUUUAGUACUUUAUCCAAGUAAGUAUUCUGACUAAGUCCUAUUAGUCUCUUACUUCAGUCUCUCACUAUCCUUAUUCCCAGAAUAUAGGAAGCCUCUCCGAGGUCCUUCAUAGUGAAGCACUUCCCUAGCCAGGACUUAACUUCAUGUAGUGUCGGGAUGUCGUUUCCUAUGACCAGUAUGUCAUCGACAUACAAUACGAGGAAGCUAACUAUACUCCCACUGGCUUUAACAUAUACACAUGAUUCAUCUUCGCUUUGUACAAACCCAAACUCUUUGACUUUCUCAUCGAAUCAAAGCUUCCAUCUGCGAGAUGCUUGCUUAAGUCCAUAAAUGGACUUAUCAAGCUUGCACACCCUAUUGGGAUGCUUCUCAUUGACAAAACCCUCUGGUUGAGUCAUGUAAAAAUCCUCAGCCAACUUCCCAUUAAGGACAGCGGUUUUGAUAUCCAUUUGCCAUAUUUCAUAAUCAUGAAAUGCAGCAAUGGCCAACAUCACCCUAAUAGACUUUAUUUUGGCAACUGGUGAGAAGGUCUCAUCAUAGUCAACUCCGGGAGUUUGAGUAAAUCCCUUCGCAACCAUUUGUGCCUUAUAUGUGUGCACCUUUCCAUCCAUGUCGGUCUUCUUCUUGAAGAUCCACUUGCACCCAACCGUCUUACGUCCAGGCACAUGGUCAACCAAAUUCCAAACUUGGUUGUCAUACAUGGACUGAAUCUCGCUGUCCAUCGCCUCUUUCCAUUUUGCAGACUCCGGGCCUGCCAUGGCUUCCUUAUAGCUGUUAGGUUCAUCUAAAUUUAUUAGUAUACUAUCACUAAUAUAUGUGUCCCCUUCUGUAGUAAUAUGAAAACCAUAUAACUGGGGUUGAACUCUAACUCUUUUGGAACGUCUAAGAGGUAAGGACUCGUCAAUCGGUUCAACCAGAGUUUCCUCCUCGGGUUGAGCUCCAACGUUAGAGGUUCCUUCAUCGCUCGACUCUUGAAUCUAUUCAAGAUCGAUUUGCCUCCCACUUUCCCCUUGGCUUAUGACUUCUCGCUCUCGGAAAACCCCUCUCUUUACAACGAAGACAACAUUGUCACUCGGUCUAUAGAAGACAUAUCUAAAGGAUUUCUGCGGGUAGCCGAUGAAAAUACACCGCUCAUUACGAGGUUCAAGCUUGUUGUGAGUCUCUCAUCUUACGAAAGCUUCGAAACCCCAAACCUUGAUAUGUGCCAACAAGGGACCUUUCCCUGUCCACAUCUCGUGAGGUGUUUUGGCAACCUUCUUUGUAGGGACUAAGUUAAGGAUAUGGGCAGCAGUCUCUAAGGCAUAACCCCAGAAUGAGAUAGGUAGUGAAGCACGACUCAUCAUGGAACGAACCAUGUCCAACAAGGUUCGAUUACGCCUCUCAGCCACACCGUUCAAUUGCGGUGUCCUAGGUGGCGUCAAUUGCGAAACUAUUCUGCAUUCCUUGAGGUAGUCGUGGAAUUCAAGACUUAGGUACUCUCCUCCUCGAUCGGAUCGAAGCAUCUUGAUCUUCCUGCCCAAUUGAUUCUCCACUUCUUGUUUAAACUCUUUGAACUUUUCAAAGGUUUCUGACUUGUGCUUGAUUAAAUAGAUAUACCCAUAUCUACUAUAAUCAUCAGUGAAAGUCACAUAGAAGCGGUUCGCAUCCCUUGUGGUGGAUCUAAAGGGCCCACACACAUUGGUGUGUAUGAGAUCCAAUAGACCCUCACCCCUAGCACAAGUGCCAGAGAAUGGUUACUUGGUCAUCUUUCUAAGUAAACAAGAAUCUCACACAUCAUCAUCCCUAAGGUCAAAUGACUCCAACACUCCAUCCUUUUGGAGUUGGGCUAUGCAUUUCUUGUUGACAUGUACAAGACGACAAUGACACAUGCAUGCUUUAUCCAUAAUACUGGAAGAAUCCACACACAAUACAUCAUUUCCUAGGUUAUCUACAACCAUAGCAGUUUCAUAAAUUUCAUUACAAGGCAAUGCUUCAAAAUAUAAAACACCAUUUAGGUAAGCAUAAAUUGAACCAUUCUCAUUAUGAAAUGAAUAUCUAAACCCUUGUCUAAACAAACCAUGAAAUGAAAUGAUGUUUCUAUUUAAAUCUAAACCUAACCCAUUACUAAGCGCUAAAGAAUACAUUCCAAUCUUGGUAACAGGCGACGAUCUUCUGUUCCCCAUGAUUAGAUUUAUUCUUCCACGCUCUACAUCCCUAUCUCUUUUUAGUCGUUGCAAAUCAGAACAUAUGUGAAAACUACAUCCUGUAUCAAGAACCCAAGAAAUAGCAUGUGAUGAAUCAUUAGAUUUAAAUGUGUAAAUACCUGCGAAAGACGGCUUGAUCUUUCCAUCAUUGAUGGCUUGCAGAUAUUUCGGGCAACUUCUUUUCCAAUGCCCUAUUUUGUGGUAGUGGUGGCACUCUACCUCUUUAGGGUUUGAGUUGGGCUUAGCAGAACCGACUUUGGUUCCACUAGAAGAGGUACCAUCUUGGGGUUUACCCUUGUGGUGGCUCUUGGAGGGAGCCUUCCUCUUCUUGCCCCUCCCUUGCCCUAUGGCCAAAACAGGAGCAAAUGUAUUAAAUAAACGGAUGAUUAAUAAUUGAAAAUAUACCUUAAAAAAAGAUAAAUAUAUAUGAAAAAAAUUAUGUAAAAGAUCAAAAUAUAAAACUUUAAAAUAUAAUAAGGCUCAUAAAUUGUAAAUUAUAAAAUACCAUCAAUUUAAUUUUAAAAAUAUAAAUUGUUGUAUGAAAAUUACUUACAUGUAAAAAAAAAUACGCAUGCAAAAAUCUGCUUAGAAAUAAAAUAUCUACUUCCAUAUCUUCAUCUUCAUCUUCAUGCUUAAUAAAAGCCUCCUUAAAUGCCACUUGUCUAUUUUUUACACAAGCCUUCUGCCACGUGUCAUUUUUUUUGUUCACUCUGAUUUUGGUUUCCCGCUCAAAUUCUUCUAUGUAAAGUUAUUAUAUCCGAUAUCCGAUUUUUUAUUUUUGAUUACAAAAUAUCUCAUAAAAUCAGCAACAAAUAUUCCACAAAUCAAGCUAAUAGCAAGAAAUCAGGAGCAAAAUUUUGAAUGAGAUCUUAGGCUGUCUUCCAAUAUAUGAGACGAUGUGCGAUCUAGGUUUUUUUUUUAUGAUUGCGAUUACUCUCUUAACUCCUAAGCCCUAAUCGACCAUUUAUCUACAAUCUACAUAGAAAACUGAAAAUUAGCGGUACAUUAUUUCUCCUACGUCUUCUUCCUUGAUUUUGUUUAUCAGACUGCUUCAUCUAUGUAUUUUCUUCCUUUCGUUUUGUAAAGCUUUCAGGAAAAUGAUACAUAUAUCUAAAACCGAUUCAAAACUUACCUGAAGCACAGUAACCAUGAAGCUUAUGAGCCACUGUGAAAUCAGAUAUAUAUUUUUGAAGUUUUGUUUUCAUAACUUGUAAAAGGAAAAAGGCUAAUAGAUCCAACUUUUGUGAAACGGUGCAAAAAUAAUGUUUCUUGGGGUUUUGUUGUUAGAAUUUAUAAAUAAAAAAAUUAGUACUUGUGCUUUUUCGAUUGCAAAAUAAAAUAGUGAAGUAAAGGAGAUUCCUUUGAUAGGGAGAUACUGAUAAGAGAAGGCGGGACACAGGAUGAAGCCACGAACUAUGUUGUUGCUGCUGGUGUUCAAUGGUUUCUUGAAGAUAUUCGAUUUGUUCCUUAUAAACCAACAGGUAGCCUUCUUAACAUAUUUUUUUUCUGUAUAUUUCUUUCUCUUUAUCUUUCGAAUUUACUUUUUCACAUAUGAACUUUCUGACUAUGCAUAUUAACUAUUUGAUAAAAUGUCUCAAUGAACAAAUACAACUUAAAGUAUGUCCGGUAAAUAUCGUAUUUUUUUAAAUGAAUUCACAAUAAUUGGUAUCAAGCCUCAACUGAUGAGGGUGGUACUGAUGGUUAGAAAUUUGGGGACACAUGUGUGACUAAGUCCCACUUACGGUCUGAUUAACAAAUACAGUUUGGUUGUUGUUAUUGGAAACUUCACAAUUAUUUUGUAUAAUGACCUCAUAAAUAUUCAUUGGUACAUAGAAAACUUAAUGGUAUAUGGUUGUUUGUAGUUAGGACCAUGGUGCUAUUGGGCGGCAAUUCUAGGGUACCUCUGACUUUGGAGAACCAAUUUUUUUAAAUGAAAAGUUUGUUAAAGUGUUAUUGCUAUGGUUUUGAUGCUUAUUUGUUGCUCUAUUUAUAUAGAAUUAGGGAUAUAUAGGUGUGUUGAUUAACACAUGUAUUUAUUAUCUUAUCAUAGAAUCUAAUGCAUUUCUUCUUAGAUUGAAGGUCUUGAUGGACAUAUUAUUAUGGGCAUACCAACGCUCAUUGGAACAUGAACGGUUAAAUUUAAAAAAAGGUAAUCAUACACAUACAUAAACAAUAUGAUAUUACAUUUUUUGUCCCUUACCUAUAGUUUCCUUUUCUCAAAAUAAGGUUAUUUACUUUUUUUUUUUGAAGAAUAUGAAGAAAAAUGGCAAAAACACCACAAGCUAUUGGCCUUGGUAUCAAAAGAUGGAACAAAUUGUUGAGAAUUGAUUUCCCUUAAAAGUUGUAGUGGAUGAAGAUAUUGCUAUAGGAGGAAUCCAUGGAUAAUGAGUUUUUAGAAAGAAUAAAAAAGAUGCCAAAGGCACAUACAGAAAGAGAAUUUUAGAGCAUUUGGGAUAUCUUCAUCUUCUUAGACGGGAACAACUAGACGACUUAUUUCGGGUCGUAGAAUGAGCAAGCAACAAGGUUUGCUUAAGUAGUAACAAACUUUCCUUUGAUUUUGUUAUUUAUAACAGUCUACUUCUAUUAUUAACUAAAAAUAUGUUAAUAUUCGUUGCAUUUAGACGAAAUUAUGUUAGUAUUCAUUGCAUUUAACACUGAUACAUAUAUUCCAAAAUCAACAUUGCUCAAACAGGUAUCAAAAUCAAAAAAUUGGGUGUUAGAUUUUACUACAUUUAUUUUAAUGUUGUUGUAUCUGAACUUUCAUGUGUUGGUUUAGGUAUGUUAGAUUAUUCUAUUCAUUUUAUUAAAACAUAUAUUAAUUAAAAUUAUUUUUUGUAUGAUUUGUUUUUUUUUCUAUGAAUAUAUUCAGGAUCAUCAAGGAAUGUCGAAUAUAGCACCAACUAAUACUCUGUUGUUCCACCUGUGCAUUACCAAGGGUGAAAGUGGAUUUAUGGAGGAUUCUGAAAUUGUUUUAGAUUAAUGGAAGAUUCUGAGAAUGUUUCGGAAGCUAGAAUUCAAGAAUUCAUAAAUAAUCUUCGGAUUUUAUAUCCCAAAACGCUCUUUUCCACGUAAUAAUAUAAACUUCUUUGUCACCUUUUCACUUUACAUGUAAGUUUUGAGGAUUUUUUUUUUAUCUAAUUGGAUGUUUAGUUGACAUGUAGUAGUGGAAUAACUUCUAAUAUAGUGUAUUAUAGCAUCUUACUUUCUAAAUAUACCAACUUAAGGCAGUGAAAAUGCUUUGUAAAUUGGAUGAAACUUCUUUAAAUGGGUUAAUUUUUCAGCCACAAUGUUGAUAAAAAGGAAAGUAGAAUGCUAUAAUUUCGAUAAAUUUUUCGAAGUACAUUGUCUUAAUAAGAAUACUACCACUACUUGGAUCUACCAAUUAUUUUCAGGACUUGUAAAAACCGGUUGAUAAUAAAAAUUAAUUGACAGAGAUGUUGGAUUUUUUUUCUUUAUCAAUUUCUUCUUACAGUGUUUGUUCCAGAAGUUUUCUAUUGAAUUAUCGGAUUGUCCACAUAGAAACUUAGCAAUUUCUACCCAUCUGCAAAUACAAAAAAUGAAUAACUAUUUAAGUCCACAAUAAUUAAAAACUUCAAAUAUGUUGAAUACUUUUGUUCUAACAUUAUUCCUUGAAAAACUACGUAUAUUUAAUUUUAGUUUUUUACAAAUGAAGCUGUGAGUUUGAGCCAAAUUAACUAAAUUCAUGCCACAAAUUUGUUUUGUUAUACAGUUAAGCUGAUUUGUAGAUAGACGUAGACAUCCUCGAGUUCUUGGUGAGCAAGAGAAAGUUAGUAUUUACCAAACAUAUUCAAGAAAAACUUUUUAUCCUUAUUGUUUUAAUUCAUGUUUUCUGUAAAAACAAUCAUUGAUCAGAGUUUGGUGUGUUUUUCUGAUUUGUGUUUGAGGUGUUCAUAUUUGAUUUUAAGUUUAAUGAUUGACUUUGAAUUUUGUUGCAGUCUCUGAAAAAAUAAAGUUUGACUUAGAAAACAUGAUAAAAACAGUGGAAGCUCAUGUGAAUACAUUUGAUUUUGCCUUCGGUAAGUAUGACUACAUUUGUAAAAUAUCUUGCAUUAUAGAUGCUAAAAAUAUGUUCAAUAUCAUAUUUUAUAUAAAAAUGUGGCCAAUGACAUAUUUUAUACUAAAGUCAAAAUGAGAAGUAAUUAUCAAGAUUAAAUACGUAAUCAAUUAAAGUCAAAGUUGAGACGGGAGAGAUAUAACCCUUUUCUAAUAAGGUUUUUUUUUAUAAUAUUUUAAUAAUCAAAAUUAUUAACAUAAAAUAUAAAAUGUAAAACAUAAUUAUUGUAUAUAAAGUUAUGUUUUACAUGUUUUAAAUAUUUUUUUAUUAUACAUAAGAAUUAAGAUCUUUUAAACAAGAGUAAAUUACACAAAUGGUCUCUAUGGUUUGGGGUAAUUUGUGCGUUUGGUCCCUAACUUAUUUUUUUUAACUCGGAAAGUCCCUACUGUUUGUUUUUGUCACAUGCUUGGUCCUUACUAUUUGUUUUUGUUAUGCGUUUGGUUUCUGUCUUACAUAAAAAGACUAUUAUUUAAAUAUGAAAAAAUGGUAGGGUAGGUAAGGUAAGGUGAGAAGGUGGGGUUAUGGGUGUUUAUUUAAAUAAAUUAAAAAAUCAAGGACAAAAUAGUUUUUUUUGAUAAGACAGGACCAAACGCGUAACAAAAACAAACAGUAGGGACCUUCCGAGUUAAAAAAAUAAGUUACGGACCAAACAUGUAAAUUACCAUAAACCACAGGGACCAUUCAUGUAAUUUACUCUUUAAACAAAGAUUUUUAUAUGAUUUUGACUUUUUUAUUUUAACUACCAAAAAUAAAAUGUCAAAAUAAAUAAGAUAUGAAAUUACAAUAUUGUUUUCUUCUUUUAAAUUAAUACUAUUUUUCAAACUAAAAUUGAAGCACAAUGUUAUUAACUAAAUUAUGUGUAUUUAUGGUUAAGACUAUUUUUUUUAUAAUGCCUAUGUUAUUUAAUAUUAUCCUAUGUAUAUACGGGUUAUAACUUAAUAAAUACUUAUAUUUCACAAAUUGUAUUGUAUGAUAUUAAAAUAAUAAAAUUUAAUCUUAAUUUAAACAUCUGUCAUUUUGCAAAUCAAUAUAUCCUUUCCAAAUAAAGAUCGGGUAUUUAUGUCUUCAGAUGUGGAAAGAAGCUACUAGAAGCUCCUGGUAUCCUUCUCUCUUCCCCGAUCAUUCCAGAAUUAUCUUCUUCUUCCUCCUCUCCUUAUUCCUCUCUACGUUAUAAAUCCAUCAUUGAAAUGAUCGUUUGGUCAUUCGUCACUCAUAGAAGUUCUCGAUUCAUACUUGUUUUUUUCAAUCGCGCUCGAAUUUUAGAAACAGAUCGUUAACAGAGGUCGAAAUGGAUAUCAGUUUGAUGGGUUUCGACACGCCGUUCUUCCGCAACCUCCACCACAUCCUCGAUGCCACCGAAGACACCAACACCAACAGCAAAUCAAGCAACGCCGGACCUACUCGCGCUUACUUACGUGACGCCAGAGCAAUGGCUGCAACUCCGGCGGAUGUGAAGGAGUAUCCCAGCUCUUACGUUUUCAUCGUCGACAUGCCGGGUUUGAAGUCCGGAGAUAUCAAGGUU